RNAcentral lists this long non-coding RNA (1023 nucleotides) under Homo sapiens (human). Its description in RNAcentral is "HSALNT0257280". Lineage: Eukaryota; Metazoa; Chordata; Mammalia; Primates; Hominidae. The record is from RNAcentral.
CUGAGACUACAGGUGCAUGCCACGACACCCAGCUAAUAUUAGUAUUUCAUGUCAAGAUGGGUUUUCACCAUGUUGAGCAGGCUGGUCUCAAACUUCUGACCUCAGGUGAUCCACUCACCUUGGUCUCCCAUAGUGCUGGGAUUACAAGUGUGAGCCACUAUGCCUGGCCAGGAAUGUCUCUUUCUGACAGAAUCAGGAGCCUGAAGUUGUCUUGGGACCCCAAGAAGAGAGAAAUUCACCCAACUCACAGUGAUCUCUGACUGCAGCUCAAAAGAAACAAGAGAGAUGGGUAAUAUAAAAAUCCAGAUCAGGCACCAGGCACGGUGGCUCAUGCCUGUAAUCCCAGCACUUUGGGAGGCCGAGGUGGGCAGAUCACGAUGUCAGGGGUUCGAGACCAGCCUGGCCCACAUGGUGAAACCCUGUCUCUGCUAAAAAUACAAAAAUUAGCCGGGCGUGGUGGCACGUGCCUGUAAUCCCAGCUACUGAGGAAGCUAAGGCAGGAGAAUCACUUGAACCUGGGAGCCAGAGUUGCAGUGAGCCAAGAUUGCACCACUGCACUCCAGCCUGGCCGACAGAGCAAGACUCCAUCUCAAAAAAAAAAAAAAAAAAUCCGGAUCACUAAUCUAAUUCUGAACACAUAUUGGAAUCAGGUAGCAAACCCAUAUCAGCUUCUUCCCAACAUUUGCCCUUAUUUAGUUUACUUGGGAUAAUUUUACUUAUUUUACUUUACUUGGGAUAAUUUUACUUAUUUUACUUUACUGUUGUGGAUUAUAUUGUUGUUGUGCUCUUUGUGUAGAAAUGCAAGAUAAGCUUGCUCAAUGUUUUCUUAAGUAGAACACUUAAUUUUGCAGAUAUCAACAUUUGUUAAGAACUCAAGACUUAUAAAUGAUCCUUGUAAUAUUGAUGCUUUCUCACCUGGCUGGGCAUGGUGGUUCACGCCUGUAAUCUUAACACUUUGGGAGGCCAAAGCAGGUGGAUUGCCUGAGAUCAAGAGUUCAAGACCAGCUUGGCCAACAUGGUAAA